CGCUUAGAAUAAUGGUUUACUUUAAUUUGGUUCAAUGUAAGUGUUCGUUGUUAACAAAAACUGGCCCACAUCACUAUUGUUUUUGCAGGGGUGGCAAAGAAACAGUCAAAUGGAGUAAAACGAAGAAUGAGGACAGAGAAAGGAGGGCUCAUUGGAGACCCAGCGUCUGGAAAAAUGACCAAAUGAAGGAAGAUGCCAGUAAAUAUUUGCUGAACUUGCCCUGUGUGCCCAUUGUAGAUAAAGCCACCGAAAAUAACCCUAUCCAACCGGACAGAGAAGCCAAAGCAUGUAGGGAAGCAGCAGCAACAAUGAGAGAAAACAACGCAAACCAGAAACCAAAAUACCACCUCUGCUCACCACCACCCUGCACAGGCUCUGCCCACCGCCAUCCUGCAAAACGUACAGGCUCUCCUCCCAGAUCCACGUGGGACUGGCUCCUUUGUACUCGAGGGACUGAGUGCACAUGUCACCUCCCAGACCACUGAGAUAAAGAAACCAAAGCACAGAAGUUAAAGGGUUGGAUGGAGGGAACCAACUGUCCAUCAACAGGCCAAUGGAUAAACCAAAGUGGUUUGUACACACAAUGGAGCAUUAGCCUUAUAAAGAAGGAAAUUCUGACAAGAAAUUGUUACAGCAUAGAUGAACUUUAAGAACUUAUGCUAAGUGAAAUAAACUAGCCAGGAAAAGACA
Panthera uncia (snow leopard) is the source of this 690-nucleotide long non-coding RNA. RefSeq lists it as uncharacterized. The record is from RefSeq and is a predicted model, not a curated record. The transcript has 2 exons. NCBI's taxonomy places the organism in Eukaryota, Metazoa, Chordata, Mammalia, Carnivora, Felidae.